UGGGGAAUUUUGCACAAUGGGGGAAACCCUGAUGCAGCGACGCCUCGUGAUUUAGAAGGCCUUCGGGUUGUAAAAAUCUUUUCUAUGGGAAGAAAAUGACAGUACCAUAGGAAUAAGGACCGGCUAAUUACGUGCCAGCAGCCGCGGUAAUACGUAAGGUCCGAGCGUUGUCCGGAAUCAUUGGGCGUAAAGGGUACGUAGGCGGGUAAGCAAGUUAGAAGUGAAAUCCUAUAGCUCAACUAUAGUAAGCUUUUAAAACUGCUCAUCUUGAGGUAUGGAAGGGAAAGUGGAAUUCCUAGUGUAGCGGUGAAAUGCGCAGAUAUUAGGAGGAAUACCGGUGGCGAAGGCGACGUUCUGGCCAUAUCCUGACGCUGAGGUACGAAAGAGUGGGUAGCAAACAGG
RNAcentral lists this ribosomal RNA (402 nucleotides) under bacterium. Its description in RNAcentral is "partial 16S ribosomal RNA". It matches the Rfam family "Bacterial small subunit ribosomal RNA", at positions 355 to 776 of the family's 1533-position model. The record is from RNAcentral.